Molecule: ribosomal RNA, 467 nt
Filed under: uncultured Steroidobacter sp.
Lineage: Bacteria; Pseudomonadati; Pseudomonadota; Gammaproteobacteria; Steroidobacterales; Steroidobacteraceae
Description: bacterial SSU rRNA
Rfam family: Bacterial small subunit ribosomal RNA
Source: RNAcentral
UCCUACGGGAGGCAGCAGUGGGGAAUAUUGGACAAUGGGGGCAACCCUGAUCCAGCGACGCCGCGUGGGUGAAGAAGGCCUGCGGGUUGUAAAGCCCUUUCAGUGGGGAAGAAAAGUCUCGUCCUAACAUGGCGGGAUCUUGACGUAACCCAUAGAAGAAGCACCGGCUAACUCUGUGCCAGCAGCCGCGGUAAUACAGAGGGUGCGAGCGUUAAUCGGAAUUACUGGGCGUAAAGCGCGCGUAGGCGGCUUUGCAAGUCGGGUGUGAAAUCCCCAAGCUUAACUUGGGAACUGCACUCGAGACUGCAUUGCUAGAGUAUGGGAGAGGGAAGUGGAAUUUCAGGUGUAGCGGUGAAAUGCGUAGAUAUCUGAAGGAACAUCAGUGGCGAAAGCGACUUCCUGGACCAAUACUGACGCUCAUGUGCGAAAGCGUGGGGAGCAAACAGGAUUAGAUACCCUGGUAGUCC